CAUAUUGAUUCUCAUUGUCUCUGAAAACUGAGUGAACAUACAUAUUGCAGAAUUUUUCUGUCUGCCCAGGGGAUAAAACAUCAAGUUUGCUGCAUACAAAGAAGUCCAUCCAGGAAAUCAGUUGCCAAUCUCACCUUCUUUCAUGUACCCCCAGUCUCUUCUAUUGAUUCUUUUGGAGCUGUUCCCCGUUUGGCUUUAUAGGAAGAGAAGGAAAAGAAGUCAAAACAUCCUUCCUCAGGUGGAAGACUCAAGAUUCCUUGAAUGUAUUGAAUUUUCUAGGGGUUGGGAGGGAAGAUGAGGAUUCAGGAAGUGAUGGAGAGUAGCCAAGCUGAUUUGGACACUUUUUGGUAAGCCCUGGACAAAGUUCUGGACUCCACUGUUUUCAGUUCUGUUUUGAAUAGGCCUGUGGUAGGUAGAAUAAUGGCCUUCCAGAGAAGUCCAUGUCCUAAUCUCUGGGACCUAUGAAUAUGUAACAUUGCAUGGCAAAGGGGAAUUAAGGCAGCAGAUGAAUUUAAGGUUAGUAAUCAGCUGGACUUAAAAUAGGGAUGUUGUCCUGGUGGAUUAUCCAAGUGGAUCCAAUGUCAUCACAAGGGUCAUUGAAUAUGGACAAAGGAGGCAGAGGAGUCAGUGUCACAGUGAUGUGACAUGAGAGUUGACCAGCCCUUGCUUGCUUUGAAGGUGGAAAGGGACCACAGCCAAGGAAUGCAAGCAACCUCUAGAAGCUGGAAAAGCUGUGCAGGCUGGAAGUCCAAGAUCAAGGUGUCAGCAGAUUCGGUGUCUGGUGAAGGCCACUUCCUGAUUCACAGACUGCCAGCAUCCCACGGUGUCCUCACAUGGUAGAAGGGGC
This 847-nucleotide long non-coding RNA is filed under the name Equus caballus (horse). RNAcentral's name for it is "lncRNA (ENSECAG00000041203.2)". The record is from RNAcentral. Lineage: Eukaryota; Metazoa; Chordata; Mammalia; Perissodactyla; Equidae.